Molecule: ribosomal RNA, 849 nt
Filed under: uncultured bacterium
Lineage: Bacteria
Description: bacterial SSU rRNA
Rfam family: Bacterial small subunit ribosomal RNA
Source: RNAcentral
GAUGAACGCUGGCGGCGUGCCUAACACAUGCAAGUCGAGCGGACCAAUGCCCAUUUCAGCUUUGCUGAUUUGAGCAACGGUUAGCGGCGGACGGGUGAGUAACGCGUGGGCAACCUGCCCUGUGCAGGGGGAUAACACAGCGAAAGCUGUGCUAAUACCCCAUAAGACUACGCUAUCGCAUGAUAGAGUAGUCAAAGCUUUAGCGGCACAGGAUGGGCCCGCGUCUGAUUAGCUAGUUGGUGGGGUAACGGCCUACCAAGGCGACGAUCAGUAGCCGACCUGAGAGGGUGAUCGGCCACACUGGAACUGAGACACGGUCCAGACUCCUACGGGAGGCAGCAGUGGGGAAUAUUGCACAAUGGGGGAAACCCUGAUGCAGCAACGCCGCGUGAGCGAAGAAGGCCUUCGGGUCGUAAAGCUCUGUCCUAAGGGAAGAAGCAUGACGGUACCUUAGGAGGAAGCCCCGGCUAACUACGUGCCAGCAGCCGCGGUAAUACGUAGGGGGCGAGCGUUAUCCGGAAUCACUGGGCGUAAAGGGUGCGUAGGCGGCCGAGUAAGCCAGGGGUGAAAGGCUACGGCUUAACCGUAGUAAGCCUUUGGAACUACUUGGCUUGAGUGCAGGAGAGGAGAGUGGAAUUCCUAGUGUAGCGGUGAAAUGCGUAGAUAUUAGGAGGAACACCAGUGGCGAAGGCGACUCUCUGGACUGUAACUGACGCUGAGGCACGAAAGCGUGGGGAGCAAACAGGAUUAGAUACCCUGGUAGUCCACGCCGUAAACGAUGAGUGCUAGGUGUCGGGGGUUCACACCCUCGGUGCCGGAGUUAACGCAAUAAGCACUCCGCCUGGGGAG